Molecule: ribosomal RNA, 253 nt
Filed under: uncultured bacterium
Lineage: Bacteria
Description: partial 16S ribosomal RNA
Rfam family: Bacterial small subunit ribosomal RNA
Source: RNAcentral
UACGUAGGGUCCGAGCGUUGUCCGGAGUUACUGGGCGUAAAGAGCGUGUAGGCGGUCCGGUAAGUCCGCUGUGAAAGUCGGGGGCUCAACCCUCGAAUGCCGGUGGAUACUGUCGGGCUAGAGUGCGGAAGAGGCGAGUGGAAUUCCUGGUGUAGCGGUGAAAUGCGCAGAUAUCAGGAGGAACACCUAUUGCGAAGGCAGCUCGCUGGGACGUAACUGACGCUGAGACGCGAAAGCGUGGGGAGCAAACAGG